This 459-nucleotide ribosomal RNA is filed under the name uncultured bacterium. RNAcentral describes it as "partial 16S ribosomal RNA". It matches the Rfam family "Bacterial small subunit ribosomal RNA", at positions 338 to 795 of the family's 1533-position model. The record is from RNAcentral.
CCUACGGGUGGCAGCAGUGAGGAAUAUUGGUCAAUGGCCGAGAGGCUGAACCAGCCAAGUCGCGUGAGGGAAGACGGCCCUACGGGUUGUAAACCUCUUUUGUCGGGGAGCAAAGCGAACCACGUGUGGUUCAUCGAGAGUACCCGAAGAAAAAGCAUCGGCGAACUCCGUGCCAGCAGCCGCGGUAAUACGGAGGAUGCGAGCGUUAUCCGGAUUUAUUGGGUUUAAAGGGUGCGCAGGCGGAGGUGCAAGUCAGCGGUCAAAUUGCGGGGCUCAACCCCGUACUGCCGUUGAAACUGCAGCCCUUGAGUGCGCGAGAAGUAUGCGGAAUGCGUGGUGUAGCGGUGAAAUGCAUAGAUAUCACGCAGAACUCCGAUUGCGAAGGCAGCAUACCGGCGCCCGACUGACGCUGAGGCACGAAAGCGUGGGUAUCGAACAGGAUUAGAUACCCGUGUAGUC